RNAcentral lists this ribosomal RNA (462 nucleotides) under uncultured bacterium. RNAcentral's name for it is "partial 16S ribosomal RNA". It matches the Rfam family "Bacterial small subunit ribosomal RNA", at positions 355 to 829 of the family's 1533-position model. The record is from RNAcentral.
UGGGGAAUAUUGCACAAUGGGCGAAAGCCUGAUGCAGCGACGCCGCGUGCGGGAUGAAGGCCUUCGGGUUGUAAACCGCUUUUAAUUGGGAGCAAGCGAGAGUGAGUGUACCUUUUGAAUAAGCACCGGCUAACUACGUGCCAGCAGCCGCGGUAAUACGUAGGGUGCAAGCGUUAUCCGGAAUUAUUGGGCGUAAAGAGCUCGUAGGCGGUUUGUCACGCCUGGUGUGAAAGUCCAUCGCUUAACGGUGGAUCUGCGCCGGGUACGGGCAGGCUAGAGUGCAGUAGGGGAGAUUGGAAUUCCCGGUGUAACGGUGGAAUGUGUAGAUAUCGGGAAGAACACCAAUGGCGAAGGCAGAUCUCUGGGCUGUUACUGACGCUGAGGAGCGAAAGCAUGGGGAGCGAACAGGAUUAGAUACCCUGGUAGUCCAUGCCGUAAACGGUGGAUGCUGGAUGUGGGGCC